This 483-nucleotide ribosomal RNA is filed under the name uncultured Actinomycetales bacterium. RNAcentral's name for it is "bacterial SSU rRNA". It matches the Rfam family "Bacterial small subunit ribosomal RNA", at positions 1 to 507 of the family's 1533-position model. Lineage: Bacteria; Bacillati; Actinomycetota; Actinomycetes; Actinomycetales. The record is from RNAcentral.
GUAGUUGACUCGUGCACGAGACACGCUGGCGGCGUGCUUAACACAUGCAAGUCGAACGAUGAACCGCUUUCGGGCGGGGAUUAGUGGCGAACGGGUGAGUAACAUGUGGGCAAUCUGCCCUGCACUCUGGGACAAGCCCUGGAAACGGGGUCUAAUACCGGAUACUCACUGCCUUGGGGCAUCCAAGGUGGUGGAAAGCUCCGGCGGUGCAGGAUGAGCCCGCGGCCUAUCAGCUAGUUGGUGAGGUAAUGGCUCACCAAGGCGACGACGGGUAGCCGGCCUGAGAGGGCGACCGGCCACACUGGGACUGAGACACGGCCCAGACUCCUACGGGAGGCAGCAGUGGGGAAUAUUGCACAAUGGGCGAAAGCCUGAUACAGCGACGCCGCGUGAGGGAUGACGGCCUUCGGGUUGUAAACCUCUUUCAGCAGGGAAGAAGCGAGAGUGACGGUACCUGCAGAAGAAGCGCCGGCUAACUACGUG